UAAUAUUUAUCUCAUCCUGAAGAAGGAUGGCUAGGGAAAGAAGCAGGAAUGAAGCAAUGUUUCUGCUUUUAUUCAGAAGUCCACAUGGGAUUAGGAGCAGAAAUUGAGUUUUCCAAAUGUUACAACAAACAUAUUUAAGGAUCCUUUGGAAUAUAAGAUGCUUUACAGACUUUAAGUAUUUCACUGGUUCUCACAUUCAGGUAGUGUAGUGUGGCACUCUGUGAAUGUGCAGGAGGGAUUUUCAGAUGAUAGUCCUUUCUUUCUUUUAAUGGAUGUCACAAUACAGAGAGAAAUACUAAAUGCAAGCAAGCCCUAUGGUUUUGAUUGUGGUUAGUCUGACGGUUCUGGUUUGCUUUAAGUGGAAGCUGAUGAACAAUGGUUUAAAAGGAGAAAAGGAAAACGGCCCCAGCACUGAGGUCAGUCAGCCACUUCCUACAUCCAGCUGUUUCAGUUUAUUUUUUUAAUUAAGUUUGGCUUAAAUUAAUGAUGACAGUUUAAAGAGAACUCUUUCACCUAUUUAGCUGACUUUACAUCUGAAACCAAGUCCCUUCUGUCCAACUGCAUUUUGUUACAAGAUUUGCAGUUAAGUCCCUAAAAGUUCCUGGUUUCUCCCCACUUUAUUUUGUCAUCUUUCUGCUCUGUUAUUGCCCUCUGCCCUUUAGUGCCCUUUCAAGGGAGGGCUAAAGCUAUUGCUGCUGCAGUAUGGAAACAAAGUGCCUCCUAAUUGAUCGUUAAUACUGCCGGAGAGUGAGGAUGUUGGGAACUGCCAGAUCAAGCCCAUUUACUCCAGCUUCUGGGUCAGCUCUUCAGCUGGUAUAAAUCAGCCAUCCUUCUUGGCUUCUUAACAGUUGAGUGUAGGCUGUGACAUUGAGGAGUUGGUUCUGGCUCUGUAGCCUGGUGCUCUGUGCAAGCACCAGAUCCUACAGGGCUUUUGUCUAGCAAUGAAGGAAUGCUCCCUGGUCCAGAAUAGUGGUGAUUUACGUCCAGAAGCCUUAAAAUUAGUAGCUCUAGAAGUAUGUGUCAGCUCCCCAAUUUAGGUGAUGGGGGAAAAGAAACAGCAGCAGUCUUAAUUUUCAGAAAAAAAAUGCAGCUGGAACAAGAGCUUCUCUGAUCCUAUCAGACAGCACAAAGAUGCACUCAAGUGCAUGGUUCUGAUUCUCUUGCUAAGCCUGUGGAGUGUCUGCUUUUUUCUAUAAACUUCAUACUUGCCAUAGAGAAGGAAAGAGUUCCCUGCUCUGGGGGUUCUGGCUUCAUUCUCAUGGAAAUUACUUAAAUUCCUCAAAGCUAUCAAUUUAAGCAUUUCUCUGUAGGCCUGACUGCUUCUCUUUCCAGACUAGAGUAAUUUUUUCUUAGAUGGGGAGACUUCACCAUAGUGCUUAAGGUAAGAGCUGAUAACUCAUCACCAAAAUAAUGAAUGAAGUGCCACUCCUUGUACCUUUCCAUAGUUUGCUAGGAAAGCAAUAAGAAUUGCAUCAUCACUCAUUGCAGAUAUAAACGUGAUCAUUAUGUGUGCAGUCCUCUGUAAACAGUAAAACCUUAAAGGUUCCUUAAAUUGAAACAAAUCCCAUGGCCUGAGCAGUCCCAAGUCUUGUAAGGCAUACAAGGUUUUCUAGGGAACAGUCUUUGACUGGAGUCUUAAGAGGACUGUCAAAACAAGCAGACUUGUGGUGUUUUGGUCAUUAAUGAGACAGAAUUACAUUGUCUCUCCAGAAGACAGCAGAGGUAGGGCUGUGCUUAGUAAGAUGAUAGAAAGAAAUCAGUCCUAUGAGCUGAUCUGAAUCCAUGACAGAAACUGGCAUGAGCUAGGAAGAACAACAGAGGAUGAUCUCCUGGAGAGAAGACAGACUGCAAGCAAGCAGGACUGGGGAGGACCCAGGAGCCCCAAGGGACACACUGAGAUGGUUGCCACGCAUGAGAAAGGGCAGCUCAAGAAAGCAGGCAGCGGAGAAGUCCCAGGGGGCCGCAACCCAGGGCAGCCUGCAGUUCUUGAUCUUGCUCGCACUUGUGAGCAACACCAUGAGAAGAUCCCAGCAGCAGCCAUGGGGUGGCCCAGCAGACAGGCAGCACCAGCUCACAUUGCACCUCGUAGGGAACAGCACUGGGCAAAGUAUGAUGCUGCAUUAAUGCCAACACUGGCACCGGGGAGCAGGCGCUAUCCCUACAGAGACCACACUUUGGGGCAGCCAAAGAGUUUUCCAGUGCCAGGAGAGUUUUGGACAGUGCACCAUUGGUUCUGCUGAAUUGCCUCUUGGUAUCUUCUACACACGUUGAUUUAUUUGUCAGGAAACAGAAGAACCUGGUAACUCUGUGUGAUCCAUAAUGAUAAUAACAAAAGAUAUAAAUCAGAUGAAUUUCAUUUGACUCGCACGGAAAGGGUUAUAGUUUUGCCAUAAAAGUUUAUUCAAGCUAAGGUAUUCUUGAAUAUUACUAUGCCAUCCAAGGGUUUAUUUUAUGGAUCUAUACUGUGAGGCUAGAAAUAAAGGCUAGGCUGUGGCUUUGUUCCAAGUCCUUAGUACGAGUACUCAGCUGUAACAGAGUGGAAGUAAACCAGAGCACCUUUGGAAGCUCAAAGAAGAAGGAGCAAGCCUUUGAUAAGCUCCUAGAAGGAUAUGGAAAGAGCAAGUUCCAAUAAGCUCACACCUGUAAACAAAUUCAGAUGCCUCCUCCUUUCUUCUUAAUCCUCCCAGGUGCUCUGACCAGGAAAUUUGGGAACUGCAAUGACAUUUCAGAUUCUUCUAGCCAUCCCACCUGCUCCAGGCCGUGCUUCACCUUCUACUUCUUGUAAACUCAUAUCCUCACACCAUGUCCUCAACCCUUGGAGCUGUUGCUCCUUGUCAUUCUGCCUGACCCAUUCGCUCAUCCCCAGCCACCUGGGGUAGGAGCUCUUCCCAACACAGCCUCAGGAGCCCCAGCCUGGACCAAGUGUCUGCGUGUCAGCCGCCUGUGCCCAGCGUCCUACACCACAAAACAUGAGAGAUGAUCCAUGGAGCAGCUACUUUAGAGCAGUGGAUUCACACUUUUUUUUCCUGUAGAAGGCAGCAUGUUCCAGCUCCCAUGUUUGCUCUCUCUAUCCUGUAUGUUUCUGCUAGAAUAAAGUUCCUCUUCAUUCCAGGUGGCGGUGUGAAAUACCUAGUGGUCAAUGAAAUCCCUCACAAGUUGUGGGAUGAUGACCACUGUUACAAGGCACCCGAGGGACUGACCUGUGAUAGUUCAAGUUAAAAAGGCAAAAAAUGUACCCUCCAUGUAAUGAUGCCAUAAAGGAUUCCACUUUGAUGCACUCAGUUUGAUGAGUUAAGAGAUCUCUCCUCAAAGUUAUGUGUUUAAUGAAUGUUUUCCUGUUUAUCAAUAGCAGCAGUGUUAGGCUAGGUUAAGCGCUGUUAGCUGCCCUUACACAUCCACAAGUAAGAGAAUGACACAAAAGUUGAUGCACUGCCCCACAGACUUCACUUUUCCAACCAUGCAGAGGUUCUCAACUAUUUAAGACAUAGACACGAUGGGAUUUAUUCCUCCUCUUCCCCUGUUAAACAUGAUGUGCGGAAAUAGGGCUGACCUUACAGUCUGUUUGUCAGUUCCAGAUCUGGUUUCUUUUGGUCACCUUCUGCCAGACAGAUCCUUAAAGUUGGCAAUGUCAAAAAAUCCUGUCCUUUCCUUUGGAACAGACACAUUUAUCUGCCUUUUUGCUCUGUGAAAAAAGCAGUCAGCAAGAGGGGGUCUGGAAGCCUCCAGAAGCCCUGUCCAUGAGUGGGGCGGUGGAAACAGGAGCGCUCUCUGUGCUGGCUGGAAUUUCCUUUCUCAGGAGUUGCAGCUGGCACUCUGGGCCUCCCAAGGAUGACUGCAAUGAAGUCCUUUUUCCAGACUAAAUAACCAUGCUAAUAUAAGCAGCUCUCUCAGAGGCUUGAAGGUUUUUAACAAGAUUCUUUUGAUUCAAAUCAAGCGGGUCUCUUACCUCGAGCUCUUCCAGAAGCGGAGAAGGGCUUGUGGGACUUCCUGAAGGCAGUAACAGAAGAGACUGCUAUUUCCAUCGCUCCCCUGGCCUCAUUCACAAAUCUCUUUACUGUUUUCUGUGGGUUUGGUUGAACCUUCCUGAAAGCUUAUCAGUUUGAAUCAAAGCCUCACCUGCCUCCAUUUGUUGAAGACACUGUGCUUAUGGACUUAAGCAAGUUCUGGAUGAAGCCUCAUGCAUUUUAAGUAUCCAGGUCUUUAUCAAGGAGCUGGAUUUGAAGUUUUUCCCAGUCUAUCAAGACAUCCUUGUGAAUUAUUGGCAAGAGCAAAAACAUUUUGAGGAACUUCAGUCCUACCAAAGGAAAGAAACUUGCGAUAAAUUACAUUAGUGGAUGUUAGGUUUCAGUUUUGACCCAAGAGACAUCAUUCCAGGAUCUUCCUCUGCAGCUGGUAAACACUCGGAGGUACCUCCUCAAAUCUCUUUCUCCUAGAGGCAUCUACAGCUGCAGCACUCAGGUUUCAGUGAGGGACAGUUCUGACUGAGCCUGCGCAUUAUGUGAAGUAAGAGGUGCUGAGCAGCUAGAUGUGCCCUUCUUCAGAUGAGCUCUGAAGCAAAGGCACUGGCCACUGUAGUCAGUAAUUCAGCCAACUCUCUGUCUCUAGCAAAGUAUUUUAAAAGUCCUCAAGCGCUGAUUUUUUUCACACCUCUAUUGAUAAUGUGGUUAUGCCUCUGCUGCAUUGCAGCAAAAGGUAAAGCAAUUAUCAUAUAUUGUUUAUCCUUUGUUUGGGAGAACUAGGAAGCUCAGUUGAAGGGCAACCUAAAUACAUGAAAGACACUACUGAAAAACAAAAUCUUUGUACUACUUUCAGGACAGAAGUGCAGAAGACAAGAUUGUACAUCAUUUGUUAAACAGUCUGUCUUCCAUGAAACCUCAAAAGUUUCUUUUCAUAUCCAGAGUUUCUGGCAAGUCAUUCCUUAAAUUCAUACUGCUUAGCAGUUUUCCUUGCCUCCCUGUGUGUUUACUUCUACAGCAUCCAAGAGGGCAGGCUGAGCUAAGUACAGAUACCAUCAUCUGAUGCUCUACGUCAGAACCAAAUAUAUAAAUAUAUAUACAUAUAUAAUACAGAGGCCUUUGAUUCCCUACUCCCAUUAGAUGUUAUGCAGCAUUUCUGUGCAUUUGAGUGAUGUUACUGCUGAUACUUGGUUUUGGAAGAUGAAUGCUCACCCAUACACAGGAUUCAAUUAACAUUCUUUUAUGACUGCAUCCAUAUUUUUCUUAAUGAGCAUACUCCUUGGUGAGAGUGAAUAUUUACCUCGUGGCAUUAAAUCCACAGUUAUCUACCACAGUCAUUAAUGAUCAUAUAGCAAAUGAUCACCCCAACACUCUGGCUACAUUCCAGUUCAAGUAAUUAUAUUCUGCCUCUCUUAAUUUCCUUUCGAGAGUAAUUGGACAUGAUAAUAGUCUUCACUUGUUAUCCUAAACUGCUCUGCAGCCUUACCACAUCUCAAAGCUUCAAGGACUUAAUCACAGCUCCCAAUAGGUGGAAUAUUGAUAGAUGAUCUCUCUCUUCACCCCAUCUUUUUAUCACAUAAAAAUCCAUUAAUUAUCGUAACACCAAAUGAAGGCAUCUACCAGAUUUGACUACGUAGAUGCAAUACGCUAUGCCAUCUGUAUAGCACUAGCUGUCUAGAGACAUAAGCCAGAAGUUUAAAUGUUCUCAGAAACUUACAAAGUCAUUGAUUUUAGGAAGCUGAUGAUAUGAAUUGCUGUACCUUUAUGUGCCUCUGCCUUUGUCUACAUUAGCAAGCAAUUAGGCAUAGGAAGAGCAGCUUGGUACAACAAUGCGACUGGCUGUGAGAGCUCUACAUCUAGAGUGCAGGCGGUUUGGCAUUUUAUCCUAGAUUAUAUUUAGUUUGAUUGACUGGACAGCCUGAAUGCAUGCAGUUUAAAUGUCUUCUAAGGACCACUUUUGUCCCUGCUAGGGGCUGAAGCACAACCAGUGUGCACCUGAAGUAGACAGCUUCUGCUUUAGUUUCCUGCAAAAAGAAAAUGAUUCAUACACUCCAAAACUGCAAAUCAAACCAGGGCAGGAUAAAUGAGGAUGACGAAGACAGAUGCUGCAAACCUGCUCUGCUGUUCUGAGCAUUAAUGUGGAUGGGAUCCACUGCACGCUGAAGUGUCUGAUACCUAUGCAAGGACUGUUAAAGGACAACAGGUCUUAACAGGGGGCUGUAUUCUGAUCAACAAUGGGAACAGAAAAUAAUAACAGAGCUUAUAACUGAAUCAUAAUGUAUGAAAAGAAGCUUUUGGGUAGGAGAGAGAAAGAGACAAGCAUGCUUCAGCAGCCUGGUGGGGGUGCAGUCCUCAGGAAAAAAAUUCUCCAGCCCUAAGGAAACUGCUCCAGAUGGCAAACAAUCCAAGAUUGAACACGUAGAGUUUGUCUGAUAUGUGCUGGUUUAUUUUUGAGUUACUCCAGAGAGACCAAGCACAGAAACAGCAUUGCUGCCCAUUUAUACUGCAAAG
Anas platyrhynchos (mallard) is the source of this 6467-nucleotide non-coding RNA. The record is from RefSeq and is a predicted model, not a curated record. Lineage: Eukaryota; Metazoa; Chordata; Aves; Anseriformes; Anatidae.